Non-coding RNA from Nicotiana tabacum (common tobacco), 3022 nucleotides. NCBI's taxonomy places the organism in Eukaryota, Viridiplantae, Streptophyta, Magnoliopsida, Solanales, Solanaceae. The record is from RefSeq and is a predicted model, not a curated record.
CAUCAGUUCAUCUAGAUUUUUCCAAGAUAGAGAACCGGAAGAUUGGAUCAUAUUGGAAUUCCACUAGAUGUCUUCAAUGAAAAAUUUGGUUCCCUCGUAUUCAAGAUUUUCAGCUACAAAACUAUUUUCCCUUUUAAUCAUUCAUCCUCUGUUUUUGCUUUUCUGCUCCAGCUGCGUUUGGCCUUGGCUUCUAGAUCCAUUUCAAAAUUUCUCUAUUUUUCCGAAAUGUGUGUGGUUCGCUAAGUUCUGCUUAGUUUUCUUUUGUGCUCAGUGCUUCUUUCUUGAUGAGCAUAUGAAUAUUUGAUUCUAUUUUGUUUAGAGAUGAUUGAUUUUGAUAUUAAACUUUCCUUCUUUCUUCGUGUUUCCUUUAUGGAUUCUGUCAUACUCAUACAUGUGGUUAUUUUUUAAAAUGCCUCUUUAAAAAUUUUCAGCUUUGGUAACCUGACUGCUCCCCUACAGCGGCUACAGAAAAUUGCCACUGGGAGAAAAAUAAACUAACAACGGAAGAGUUUUAAUGCAACCAAUAUGUUUGAUGAAAUUCCAAUGUAUUUGAUGAAAUUCUCCAAUGUAAAGAAGAUAGUUUCAACAAUUCGGUUGACCUCUUCUCUGCAAUCAAUCAAGCUUUUUACAUAUCAAUGGACACUGAUUAAAUUAGUACAACUUGAUUUCUACUACUGAUUGCACUUUGAAUUCCCAUUUUGUUGAUUGGGAGAGAAAGUAUGAACUCGAGGGAGAUUCUAGAGCAGCAGAAAAAACAUUGGUCAUAAUCGAAAAAGAGAAAAAGGGGCAGGAGAGGCAAUCGAAGAAAAUGACAUCAAACAACUAUUGCCAAGGUGAUGCUGACUUGAUAGCUGAACGUUAAUUAGGUAUGGACUAAUAUUAGGCUUAUAUUUUGUGUAUCUUUUAAUUGUUAUAUUCCUAUAUGCGCAUGCACACAUACCCAUAUCAGUAUGGCACGAGCGAGCGACUAUGUGUGUAUGUGUGUAAAGUAUUCUUUUAGAAAAUAUUUUACUUAAAGAUAUUACUUGCCAAGUCAUUUUUCUUAUUUGGUUGAACAGAGAAAAUGAAACGCAAGCUUCGUUGAUAAUCACAAAUAGUAAACAAUGGAGAUGAUAUUUACAUGUUAUAUGAGUAAGCGAUACAGAAUAGGAGUGGAGUGGAAAUAAUUUUCAAAAUGGAUACAACUACAAGCUAGAAAAUAGUUUCAUUAGUGAAAAUGAAUUCACCAUCAGAGUGGAAGUUUUCAUUGUACUCAUACUUUCAAUGUGCUCUCUGUUAAAGUUAACAUAGUAUAAUAGCUUUUCUCCAACCAGUUUGCAAUAAUAUUGAAUUUCUCUCAUGAAUUUUAUAUGUUCUUCUUUUUGCUUUGCUUUGCUCUGUUGUUUAGUUAAUUAAGUUGCUGGAUUUUAGUACUAAUUUAGGUAAUGCAGAAUAGGGGUGAAAAGGAUGUAAAAGAAGUUUUGAGUUUAAAUAGCCUAAGGAGUAUAUGAUGAGUCCAACCCUGAAGAAUAAGCCACACGGUUAUCACAGCUUCUGCAUCUUAUAAAAGUUCUAAUUGUUAGAUUAUUGCAUCUAUUACAGUAAACUACUUAAAGUUCUAUAAAACUUUUUGAUUUUGUUAAACUCUUCCACUAAGAUAUUUCCAAGGGAAAAUGGCAAAAGGUCCACAUUUUAUAUAAAAUAUUUUUGUUCACCUUUAUAUGAGAAACUUUAAGAAUUUUCUAGAGAUCACAGACUAUCCAGUAGGUGACAGCUUUUGUUGAUUUCAAUUGAUAUAGUUUAUGUUGUCCUUGAUUGAAUCGUAGUAACUUGAAAUUAUCUCAAUUUUUUGUUAAUACCUCUUGAAGCUGAUAAAAGUACUCGAUAAAUUGAAGAUGUUGUUCUUAAAGUGCUCAAGUGCAAGGAUAUGUAGACCUCUUAACUCACUUAUUUAGAGUGCAAUGGCUUGCUUGUUAGUGUUGUCUUCCGAGCUGCGCCUCUGGUCCUGAAACACCUAAAAUUAUGUCUGAGGAUAAGUUAUAUACAUGAAUAUUUGAUUUUGAAUUUUAAGUCCGAGAAACUCUUAAGUGGUAUUAGUGGAAGCUCUCAAUCAUUUUUUCGUUUGUUUGAAUAUUCCAAAUAUUUACCCGACUUUCUUCUUUCCUUUUCAAAGUUAAAUAUAAUGCUAAUCAUACAGCAAAUGUAGUGUGUAGUGUGGCAUAUUUACUUUGGGCUGAAUAUUUUUAUUAACUAUACCAGGAUCUCUUAUGCAUAGCUACUGUAUCUUAGCGUCAGUAAGCCAAGUUUCAAGUUGGUAUCAUACAUAUAUUCCUUUAACCCGAUAAUAUCUAUCGUUUGCCCUUGGACCAAAAUACUUCCUGAAUGCUUAUGCUCACUUUUAGUAUAUGGAUUUGUGUUAAUUAAUUUCUUUUUUAAUUUGUUUUAGGCAUUAUUAGGUAUUAUCCAUGGCUCCCGUUGGUGUCAUAUAUAUAGUGGAACACCUAAACCAUAGAGAAUAACGAACAUUCCUUGGACAAAUCAAAUAGCAAAAGGCAUAUUUUGUUACAUCACAAUAUGGCUUUACAACUAAUUCAUUUAUCGAUACUAAAAUCCAGUUGCAGCAUUAGCUCUAAGAGGCAAGAAAUGGUAUUACUUUGGAGUAGAGAAAGUUUUUCUUUGCUAAAGAAUGAAUAGGAUAUAGUUGAGUGUCCCUUAUGUGAAAUUGGGGUCAUUUUGUGAUUUUUCCCAUUCAAAAAUAUUUAGAUGGUUUUGCAUUUUGCUUCUUAAAGUGGUCCAUAGUAAUUACAUGCUGAAUUAUUUUUUUAUCCAUAGGUGGUUUUACACAACUGUUUUUUUAGGGACUCGGAAGUCUGGGAAGUGACACAUUGAUUUAUCCAGGAACAACUUAAUUUGGUUGAGAAAAAGGAAAUAAAGUUAUUUGUUGGACUGAAGUUUCAGGCCAAAUAGCCAAGGGAGAAAUUCAAAAAUAGUCAGAUUUACAAGUGGUCAUUCAAAAAUAGUCACACUUUUAAAAGUAAUUGAA